CAAAUUACGAUUUUACCCUUUAAAAAUGGUAUCGGCUGAUGAGGUCUGAUUCCACCUCUAUACUGGCCUAUAUAAAUGCAGCUUCUCUCCUUCCUAUGUUAAACCAUCAUCCUUCACACUUGCGCCAUUUCUCUUACCUAAAACUCUAAAACAUUCUUCAACUUCUCAACUCUUUUCUCACCCAAAAAAAAAAAAAAAAAACUUUCUAUUUUGAUCUCAUUAUUCUUCUGGUCGUGUUAAUUAGUGAUUAUCUCUAAUUUAGUCUGUCUAAUUUCUAUCAUCUUGCUUUCAAUUUAUGCAUAUGAAAUUAUGAACUCCCCUCAAAAUAAAAAAAAUGAACAAUUAAAAAACUCCCAAGUAUUUAUUUGUUAAUUUAUGUAGGAAAUGAGUAAGUAAGUAAGUGAAGAGAGCUUUCUUCAGUCCACUCACAGGAAGGGUUGAGAUUUAUCCUGCUGUCGACUCAUUCAUCUCAACUACUUUGCGUUUGCGCGCAUAUAUCGGAGGAUCAACCUAACCAUCACGGUCGCAACAGACGCCACGCACAGUAAAUGAGUGAAUGAAGCGAGAGUCAAGCUGGAUCUUAAGCUUCUUGUAUCUUGGACUGAAGGGAGCUCCCUUUCCCCCCCCCUUUUUUUUUUUUUUUUUUUUUUAUUUUUUUAUUUUUUAUAUGUUGAUUUUUAAUCUAAUUCUUGCGAUGUCUGUGUGUGCCCUACUAGGGUUUUAAUGAGUCGCAAAUACUCGUGUAAUUACCUUAUUAGUCCAUUAUUUAUGCCCACUAAAACUUUUUCAUAAAGCUUAAUAUCAAUUAUAAUGUCUUAACUUUGUUUUAAAUCUUAUGAUGAUUUGAUUAAAUCAAACAUCAUGUCAAUCAUUUUCAAAUUGAAAGGUUGAAUAAAACAAAGAUUGAAAGAUAAUUAGUGUUAGAUUGUGUUUAGUAUGUGAUUAUUAUUUCCCGUCUUUGUGAAAGGGAUAGAUGGGUUUUUGGCAUUUUGCAUAUGUUCAUAAUUUUGCAAAAUAAACUUGAGUGGUUACAAUAAAAAUGUGUAAAUAGUGCCCUUGUGUGUUAAUUUGAUGAUUUGAUUAUUUUUUGUGUUAAUUUGUGCACAAAAAAUAAAAAAUAAUAAUAAUAAAAAUAAAAGUAAAAAUGUGUGUGUUAAUUUGAUGAUUUUGAAUUUAAUUUGUUUCGUUCACUUGGCGUUACAACGUUUGCAGGGGAUGUUUGAUGAGAUACGGAUUAUACUGGCGAUUAAAAUGAUAGAAAAGCAUAAAAUUAAAACCUUGGAGAUGACGAGUAUUUUGAUGGCACUCUAGAUCUGUACUCCAUUUUAAUUUUAUGUAGCGAUUUUGUAAUUAGGAUAGUGUUUAAAUUAGCAAGUAAUCUGUAUUUUAUUCGUCAUUUUUACAAAUUAAAGGCUGGAAAAUCCGUAGUUUAUGUUGCGUGUAUUCAGUGGCGGACCUUGAACGAUUUUACGAGGGGGGCCGGUAGAAAAAAUUAAGCAAUAUACUAUGUAAUUAUACAAUUAUACACAAAUUUUAGGGGGGCAACAAAGAUCCGCCCCUGCGUGUAUUAGCUCGUUAGCACGCUAAUGAUGUGAUAAUGUAUUUUAAAUCAGUUUUCGACGAUAUUCUUAAUUAUUAAAAUUAAUUAUAAUGUC
Spinacia oleracea (spinach) is the source of this 1655-nucleotide long non-coding RNA. RefSeq lists it as uncharacterized. The transcript is spliced from 2 exons. The record is from RefSeq and is a predicted model, not a curated record. Lineage: Eukaryota; Viridiplantae; Streptophyta; Magnoliopsida; Caryophyllales; Amaranthaceae.